GGGAACAUACCCUUUUCUACGGAAUAGCUCUGGGAAACUGGAAUUAAUACCGUAUACGCCCUACGGGGGAAAGAUUUAUCGGGGAAGGAUUGGCCCGCGUUGGAUUAGCUAGUUGGUGGGGUAAAGGCCUACCAAGGCGACGAUCCAUAGCUGGUCUGAGAGGAUGAUCAGCCACAUUGGGACUGAGACACGGCCCAAACUCCUACGGGAGGCAGCAGUGGGGAAUAUUGGACAAUGGGCGCAAGCCUGAUCCAGCCAUGCCGCGUGAGUGAUGAAGGCCUUAGGGUUGUAAAGCUCUUUCACCGAUGAAGAUAAUGACGGUAGUCGGAGAAGAAGCCCCGGCUAACUUCGUGCCAGCAGCCGCGGUAAUACGAAGGGGGCUAGCGUUGUUCGGAAUUACUGGGCGUAAAGCGCACGUAGGCGGAUAUUUAAGUCAGGGGUGAAAUCCCAGAGCUCAACUCUGGGACUGCCUUUGAUACUGGGUAUCUUGAGUAUGGAAGAGGUAAGUGGAAUUGCGAGU
This 520-nucleotide ribosomal RNA is filed under the name uncultured bacterium. RNAcentral describes it as "bacterial SSU rRNA". It matches the Rfam family "Bacterial small subunit ribosomal RNA", at positions 120 to 674 of the family's 1533-position model. The record is from RNAcentral.